CCAGGUGGCUAUGGCGGCGGGGCAACACCUCUUCCCAUCCCGAACAGAGAAGUUAAGCCCGCCUGCGCCGAUGGUACUGCGUAACAGCGGAAGAGUAGGUCGCUGCCGGAU
RNAcentral lists this ribosomal RNA (111 nucleotides) under Bacteroidales bacterium. The record is from RNAcentral. Lineage: Bacteria; Pseudomonadati; Bacteroidota; Bacteroidia; Bacteroidales.